RNAcentral lists this ribosomal RNA (1372 nucleotides) under uncultured bacterium. RNAcentral describes it as "bacterial SSU rRNA". It matches the Rfam family "Bacterial small subunit ribosomal RNA", at positions 28 to 1381 of the family's 1533-position model. The record is from RNAcentral.
GAUGAACGCUGGCGGCGUGCCUAAUACAUGCAAGUCGAGCGAACGGACGAGAAGCUUGCUUCUCUGAUGUUAGCGGUGGACGGGUGAGUAACACGUGGAUAACCUACCUAUAAGACUGGGAUAACUUCGGGAAACCGGAGCUAAUACCGGAUAAUAUUUUGAACCGCAUGGUUCAAAAGUGAAAGACGGUCUUGCUGUCACUUAUAGAUGGAUCCGCGCUGCAUUAGCUAGUUGGUAAGGUAACGGCUUACCAAGGCAACGAUGCAUAGCCGACCUGAGAGGGUGAUCGGCCACACUGGAACUGAGACACGGUCCAGACUCCUACGGGAGGCAGCAGUAGGGAAUCUUCCGCAAUGGGCGAAAGCCUGACGGAGCAACGCCGCGUGAGUGAUGAAGGUCUUCGGAUCGUAAAACUCUGUUAUUAGGGAAGAACAUAUGUGUAAGUAACUGUGCACAUCUUGACGGUACCUAAUCAGAAAGCCACGGCUAACUACGUGCCAGCAGCCGCGGUAAUACGUAGGUGGCAAGCGUUAUCCGGAAUUAUUGGGCGUAAAGCGCGCGUAGGCGGUUUUUUAAGUCUGAUGUGAAAGCCCACGGCUCAACCGUGGAGGGUCAUUGGAAACUGGAAAACUUGAGUGCAGAAGAGGAAAGUGGAAUUCCAUGUGUAGCGGUGAAAUGCGCAGAGAUAUGGAGGAACACCAGUGGCGAAGGCGACUUUCUGGUCUGUAACUGACGCUGAUGUGCGAAAGCGUGGGGAUCAAACAGGAUUAGAUACCCUGGUAGUCCACGCCGUAAACGAUGAGUGCUAAGUGUUAGGGGGUUUCCGCCCCUUAGUGCUGCAGCUAACGCAUUAAGCACUCCGCCUGGGGAGUACGACCGCAAGGUUGAAACUCAAAGGAAUUGACGGGGACCCGCACAAGCGGUGGAGCAUGUGGUUUAAUUCGAAGCAACGCGAAGAACCUUACCAAAUCUUGACAUCCUUUGACAACUCUAGAGAUAGAGCUUUCCCCUUCGGGGGACAAAGUGACAGGUGGUGCAUGGUUGUCGUCAGCUCGUGUCGUGAGAUGUUGGGUUAAGUCCCGCAACGAGCGCAACCCUUAAGCUUAGUUGCCAUCAUUAAGUUGGGCACUCUAAGUUGACUGCCGGUGACAAACCGGAGGAAGGUGGGGAUGACGUCAAAUCAUCAUGCCCCUUAUGAUUUGGGCUACACACGUGCUACAAUGGACAAUACAAAGGGCAGCGAAACCGCGAGGUCAAGCAAAUCCCAUAAAGUUGUUCUCAGUUCGGAUUGUAGUCUGCAACUCGACUACAUGAAGCUGGAAUCGCUAGUAAUCGUAGAUCAGCAUGCUACGGUGAAUACGUUCCCGGGUCU